GAAACGACUGCUAAUACCGCAUAAGCCCACGGCUCGGCAUCGAGCAGAGGGAAAAGGAGUGAUCCGCUUUGAGAUGGCCUCGCGUCCGAUUAGCUAGUUGGUGAGGUAACGGCCCACCAAGGCGACGAUCGGUAGCCGGACUGAGAGGUUGAACGGCCACAUUGGGACUGAGACACGGCCCAGACUCCUACGGGAGGCAGCAGUGGGGAAUAUUGCACAAUGGGGGAAACCCUGAUGCAGCGACGCCGCGUGGAGGAAGAAGGUCUUCGGAUUGUAAACUCCUGUUGUUGAGGAAGAUAAUGACGGUACUCAACAAGGAAGUGACGGCUAACUACGUGCCAGCAGCCGCGGUAAAACGUAGGUCACAAGCGUUGUCCGGAAUUACUGGGUGUAAAGGGAGCGCAGGCGGGAGAACAAGUUGGAAGUGAAAUCCAUGGGCUCAACCCAUGAACUGCUUUCAAAACUGUUUUUCUUGAGUAGUGCAGAGGUAGGCGGAAUUCCCGGUGUAGCGGUGGAAUGCGUAGAUAUCGGGAGGAACACCAGUGGCGAAGGCGGCCUACUGGGCACCAACUGACGCUGAGGCUCGAAAGUGUGGGUAGCAAACAGGAUUAGAUACCCUGGUAGUCCACACCGUAAACGAUGAAUAAGAGGUGUUGGAGGAUUGACCCCUUCAGUG
Molecule: ribosomal RNA, 676 nt
Filed under: uncultured bacterium
Lineage: Bacteria
Description: bacterial SSU rRNA
Rfam family: Bacterial small subunit ribosomal RNA
Source: RNAcentral